AGAAAGAGGGAGAGGAAAUGGAGACUGAGACCCUUACUGACCAACUUUAGUACUGGAACGAGUUUCAGUCUUUGGUAGCUAAAUUAUCGUUCCUUGGCCUGAGGGACAGAUUCCUAUUUCAUUCUACCAUCCUUCCCAUUGACAAUAAAGUUAAAGAUUAUGUAACUGAUCUCUGCUCGGACAGUAUUUGAUGAGAGUUUGUUGAGUGUGGUCACCGAAGAACUUCAGGAUUUAUUAAGUGGUUUGCUCAAUGCCAUAUACGGAACAGGCAACAAGUCUAGAAUAUCAUCAAUAAAGUAUUAGAAUUAGUAAAAUUAAGUGACAUUAGUAAGGAGUGGUCUGGUAGGAUAUUACAUCACAUAUACAAUUGCUAUGGACAAUUACGGAUUUGUGAAUUGUUUAAUAUUAUUGUUGAUUUUCCUGAUUCAGAAUCAGCGCUGGUUGAUUUGCGUGAGUGCUUGCGUCACGUUGAUUUGAGAGAAGAGCUCAUGGAAUCAUUAACUAAAGUGUUAGACUUAAAUUUGCAUGUAACCAAUCCAUUUUCUCUUCUAAUAAAUUAAAUAAUUUUUACGAAUGUGUUAU
Molecule: long non-coding RNA, 582 nt
Organism: Amphimedon queenslandica
Lineage: Eukaryota; Metazoa; Porifera; Demospongiae; Haplosclerida; Niphatidae
Exons: 5
Source: RefSeq, a predicted model, not a curated record